This 73-nucleotide transfer RNA is filed under the name Stegodyphus mimosarum. It matches the Rfam family "tRNA". Rfam says of the family: Transfer RNA (tRNA) molecules are approximately 80 nucleotides in length. Their secondary structure includes four short double-helical elements and three loops (D, anti-codon, and T loops). Lineage: Eukaryota; Metazoa; Arthropoda; Arachnida; Araneae; Eresidae. The record is from Rfam by way of RNAcentral.
GCCUUCGUGGUGCAGUGGUCAGCACACUUGGCGAGUAUUCGAGAGGUUCGUGGUUCGAGUCCAAGCGAGGACA